RNAcentral lists this ribosomal RNA (253 nucleotides) under uncultured bacterium. Its description in RNAcentral is "partial 16S ribosomal RNA". It matches the Rfam family "Bacterial small subunit ribosomal RNA", at positions 524 to 776 of the family's 1533-position model. The record is from RNAcentral.
UACGUAGGUGGCAAGCGUUGUCCGGAAUUAUUGGGCGUAAAGCGCGCGCAGGCGGUUCUUUAAGUCUGAUGUGAAAGCCCACGGCUCAACCGUGGAGGGUCAUUGGAAACUGGAGAACUUGAGUACAGAAGAGGAAAGCGGAAUUCCACGUGUAGCGGUGAAAUGCGUAGAGAUGUGGAGGAACACCAGUGGCGAAGGCGGCUUUCUGGUCUGUAACUGACGCUGAGGCGCGAAAGCGUGGGAAGCAAACAGG